GGCCAACAUUAUGAAUCAUAUUUUGAUUAGAUCACUUAAUGAUUGGGGUUGAUCCAUGCAAACUAAGAAAUCAAUAUGAUUGAUUUAGGUGCCCCUAGUUUAAUCUAUCUUGAGUCUUCUUCAUGACUUGGUGAAGUCAGUAGGAGGAUUUAUGACUGGUUGGCUAGACCAGCUUAUGCCUAAUCUUCUUUAAUCUGACUUGAUGAAGUCAGUAGG
This 216-nucleotide long non-coding RNA is filed under the name Elaeis guineensis (African oil palm). RNAcentral describes it as "long non-coding RNA (EGUI_LNC078016)". The record is from RNAcentral. Lineage: Eukaryota; Viridiplantae; Streptophyta; Magnoliopsida; Arecales; Arecaceae.